RNAcentral lists this long non-coding RNA (1102 nucleotides) under Panax ginseng (ginseng). RNAcentral describes it as "long non-coding RNA (PGIN_LNC010147)". The record is from RNAcentral. Lineage: Eukaryota; Viridiplantae; Streptophyta; Magnoliopsida; Apiales; Araliaceae.
GAUCCUUUGAGACCCGCAGUUCUAGAUUUGCUACAGCUUUCCUCACCUUCUAGAGUUUGUACAAGAAUAAAGAUGCAUUGAGGCAUUUGUUCAUCAGCAAGGAUUGGUCAAAAUCAAAGUUGUCGGCUAUUGAAGCGGGGAAGAAAGUAUGUGAUACUGUUAUUUCAACACCAUUUUGGCAUACUGUUGAAGUUUGCAUUAGGGCGUCACAACCAAUUCUUAUAGUCUUGAAGAUUGUUGAUAGUGAUAAGAAGCCUGCUAUGCCGAAAGCUAUUGCUGCGAUGGAAUGUGCGAAGAAAAAAAAUCAAAGAUGCAUUUGAUAACAAACGAUGGAAAAUCAAAUGUCUUUUACAUUUGAGUUUGUAAGUACUUUCUAUCGUUAGUUCAAAUUUCAAAAGUAAUAAAUCAUUGACUAUUAUUAAAAUUUUAUCAUUAAUAUUAUUAUUUUUUUGUUCUAUUUAUUUUAGAUUCAUACAAAGAUGAGGAAUAGAUUGGAACACAAACGAUUGAGUGACUUGGUGUAUGUCCAAUACAAUCGAAAGAUCGACUCAAGGUUCCAAAAGAGGCGUGAACUUGGCAAUAAUUUUGAUCCAUUAGUCAUUGAUGACUUUGAAUGGGGUAAUGAAUGGAUCGAUAAUGAUGUCGAUGUUCUUCGUCUCGGGGGAUCUUACAUGGAAUGAUGUGGAUCGAGCAACCGGUGCCAUCCAACACGCUUGAGGGUCGCAAUCUUUCAAGGAGGGCUCGUGCUAAAACUAGUAAUAAUCUCAUGACGUACUCUUGACGUGGUGGUGGUUCAACUUCAAGGGAAUCAAGGUUGAUGGAUUCCGACUCCGAUAAUGAAGUUGAUGAAGAAGAGAGAAUUCCAAAUGAUGAUGAAGAUGUGGAGGAUGAUUUUGGAGAAAAACCACCACCUACGCUUUUGAAUGAGAGUAGUUCUCGUGGAAGAGAUGGAGAUGACCUUUUCUAUGAUGAUUUUGAUUGAACGAUGUUUCUAGACUAGUGUAGAGAGUCUAGACAUUAUUUUGGCUUGCUAUGGUGGUGUUUUAUUAGUUAUUAGACUACAUAUUUGUGAUGGUUGGUUGUAACUUUAUUUUCUAUGCGG